UACAGGGGGUGCAAACGUUGCUCGGAAUUAUUGGGCGUAAAGCGCGCGUAGGCGGCUACUUAAGUCGGAUGUGAAAGCCCCUGGCUCAACUGGGGAAGUGCACCCGAAACUGAGUAGCUUGAGUGCAAAAGAGGGCCGCGGAAUUCCCGGUGUAGAGGUGAAAUUCGUAGAUAUCGGGAGGAACACCAGUGGCGAAGGCGGCGAUCUGGGCUGAUACUGACGCUGAGGUGCGAAAGCGUGGGGAGCAAACAGG
RNAcentral lists this ribosomal RNA (253 nucleotides) under uncultured bacterium. RNAcentral describes it as "partial 16S ribosomal RNA". It matches the Rfam family "Bacterial small subunit ribosomal RNA", at positions 524 to 776 of the family's 1533-position model. The record is from RNAcentral.